UCCAGCUGCCAUAUCGCCCUGCAGCCCAAGUCUGGUCGCCCACUGAAGCUAAGCAGGGUUGAGCCUGGUCAGUACCUGGAUGGGAGACCUCCUGGGAAAACUAGGUUGCUGCUGGAA
Ribosomal RNA from Cyprinus carpio (common carp), 117 nucleotides. NCBI's taxonomy places the organism in Eukaryota, Metazoa, Chordata, Actinopteri, Cypriniformes, Cyprinidae. The record is from Ensembl.